This is a non-coding RNA of Oncorhynchus tshawytscha (Chinook salmon), 558 nucleotides long. The record is from the annotation of a RefSeq genome assembly. NCBI's taxonomy places the organism in Eukaryota, Metazoa, Chordata, Actinopteri, Salmoniformes, Salmonidae.
AGAUCUGUCCUUCAACACAACAGAAACUACGACAACCAUGACAAUGAUCACCAUCUUCAUCUGGACACUGGUCUGCUGCUGCCUCAAAGGAUCCAGAGGUCAGGUGACUGUGACUCAGCCUCCUGUAGUGACAUUUUCUCCAGGAGACCCUGUCACUCUGACCUGUACAACCAACACUAAAGUGUACAAAUGGGAUAGUGGAAAUGAGGGUGCGUACUGGUAUCAACAGAGACCUGGAGAAGCUCCCAAACUCCUAAUACAACAUGUAAAGACACGGCUAGAUGGGAUUCCUGCUAGAUUCAGUGGCAGUGGGUCUGAGAGGGACUUCACUCUGACCAUCAGUGGAGUCCAGGCUGAAGAUGCAGCAGUUUACUACUGUCAGAGUUACCACAGUGGAAGUGUGUUCACACAGUGAUUUAGAGCCGUACAAAAUCCUCCUGCUCGAAAUACACACAUCGAUGGUCCUCUGAACACAGAACUAAGGGUCUUGUUAUAUGACAUCACCAAGUAUAACCACUUUACUAACUCAGAAAUAAUGGUUACAAACUAGUUUCAUAA